CCUACGGGGGGCUGCAGUGAGGAAUAUUGGUCAAUGGGCGCGAGCCUGAACCAGCCAAGUCGCGUGAGGGAUGAAGGUUCUAUGGAUCGUAAACCUCUUUUAUAAGGGAAUAAAGUGUGGGACGUGUCCUAUUUUGUAUGUACCUUAUGAAUAAGGAUCGGCUAACUCCGUGCCAGCAGCCGCGGUAAUACGGAGGUUCCGAGCGUUAUCCGGAUUUAUUGGGUUUAAAGGGUGCGUAGGCGGCCUUUUAAGUCAGCGGUGAAAGUCUGUGGCUCCACCCUAGAAUUGCCGUUGAAACUGGGGGGCUUGUGUAUGUUUGAGCCAGGCGGCAUGCGUGGUGUAGCGGUCAAAUGCUUAGCUAUCACGCAGAACCCCGAUUGCGAAGGCAGCCUGCCAAGCCAUGACUGACGCUGAUGCACGAACGCGUGGGGAUCAAACAGGAUUAGAUACCCGUGUAGUC
RNAcentral lists this ribosomal RNA (460 nucleotides) under uncultured bacterium. RNAcentral's name for it is "partial 16S ribosomal RNA". It matches the Rfam family "Bacterial small subunit ribosomal RNA", at positions 338 to 795 of the family's 1533-position model. The record is from RNAcentral.